This 53-nucleotide ribosomal RNA is filed under the name Trebouxia sp. 6 GS-2016. RNAcentral describes it as "partial large subunit ribosomal RNA". The record is from RNAcentral. Lineage: Eukaryota; Viridiplantae; Chlorophyta; Trebouxiophyceae; Trebouxiales; Trebouxiaceae.
UUUCGACCUGAGGUCAGGCAAGAACACCCGCUGAACUAAGCAUAUCAAUAAGC